GAUAGCGAGAAUAGUCACAGUAGUUCUUUAAGAACUACUGUGACCAAAUUAUGGUGAUAGCGAUAAUUUAUCCAAGUUAUCAAGUAGCGAUACUGAUAGUAUUAUCAGAAAAUUAAGACAGCCUUAUUCUGAUGUAUCUGCAGAUGAUAUAUAUUGCAUGAUAUUUCAAACGCAACCGAUAAAGGAAUAGACGAUACUUGUACUUCACAUAGAUUGACCAUGUCGUCUGGUGUUAAUAUCUCAAUCAAUAACAUUUCAAAUACAACAUUAGGUCCUGAUGCAAAUGUUCAACUAAAUACAAAAGAUCGCACUUAUUCAGAUGCCAACACAGUUGUUCAUAAUCGAUCCUACAGUAACGAACAAAAUAUUGUCAGUAUGAUUCUUUUUAUUAACAUUGAAUUUACAAAUGUGUAU
Phymastichus coffea is the source of this 414-nucleotide long non-coding RNA. RefSeq lists it as uncharacterized. The record is from RefSeq and is a predicted model, not a curated record. Lineage: Eukaryota; Metazoa; Arthropoda; Insecta; Hymenoptera; Eulophidae. The transcript is spliced from 3 exons.